UGGGCAGCUUUUCUUAGGUUGUGUAUUCUCUCAGUAAAUCUCCAAGGACAUUCCACUCCCCCAGAGGAACUGGAUAGAUAAAUCUCCCCCUGAUGACUUAUCAGAUUCAGCCUUGAACUGCAUUCAGCGUUCCCUCACUGGAGAGCUCUGAGAGGGGCUAUACCAGAAGAGCCUUCCCAUUGCAGAGAAAAUGGGCUUGUCUUGUACCCUGGAAAAGAACACUUUUCCUUUACUCAGCCUUCAGAAUACAAAGGGAAGUGAUAAACAGUGGAUUUUCACUCUACAAGAGGGUAAAAUGACACCAUCCAUUUGAAACAUCUGUGCAGCGUGUGUUACGGCUGAUGUAACAAAUCCAUAGAGAGCACACUGUACUAUUUGUCUGGGUGGGAAAGCCUCCAAAAUGCAAUCUGCAAUGGGGGAUGCCUGAUGGUCCAACGGAACUGCCACAUUUUAGGUACAUCUUGCAUACUUUUCAUUCUCUCUUUUCUCCCUCCUUCACUAUCC
Molecule: long non-coding RNA, 504 nt
Filed under: Phascolarctos cinereus (koala)
Lineage: Eukaryota; Metazoa; Chordata; Mammalia; Diprotodontia; Phascolarctidae
Description: lncRNA (ENSPCIG00000015241.2)
Source: RNAcentral